This 83-nucleotide transfer RNA is filed under the name Alphaproteobacteria bacterium. RNAcentral's name for it is "tRNA-Leu". It matches the Rfam family "tRNA". From Rfam's summary of the family: Transfer RNA (tRNA) molecules are approximately 80 nucleotides in length. Their secondary structure includes four short double-helical elements and three loops (D, anti-codon, and T loops). The record is from RNAcentral. Lineage: Bacteria; Pseudomonadati; Pseudomonadota; Alphaproteobacteria.
GCCCGCUUGGUGGAAUUGGUAGACACUACGGACUUAAAAUCCGUUGGCUUUAUGCCGUGCCGGUUCGAGUCCGGCAGUGGGUA